UGACUUGUGGCUGGGGGUGAAAGGCCAAUCAAACCGGGAGAUAGCUGGUUCUCCCCGAAAGCUAUUUAGGUAGCGCCUCGUGAAUUCAUCUCCGGGGGUAGAGCACUGUUUCGGCAAGGGGGUCAUCCCGACUUACCAACCCGAUGCAAACUGCGAAUACCGGAGAAUGUUAUCACGGGAGACACACGGCGGGUGCUAACGUCCGUCGUGAAGAGGGAAACAACCCAGACCGCCAGCUAAGGUCCCAAAGUCAUGGUUAAGUGGGAAACGAUGUGGGAAGGCCCAGACAGCCAGGAUGUUGGCUUAGAAGCAGCCAUCAUUUAAAGAAAGCGUAAUAGCUCACUGGUCGAGUCGGCCUGCGCGGAAGAUGUAACGGGGCUAAACCAUGCACCGAAGCUGCGGCAGCGACGCUGAUGCGUUGUUGGGUAGGGGAGCGUUCUGUAAGCCUGCGAAGGUGUGCUGUGAGGCAUGCUGGAGGUAUCAGAAGUGCGAAUGCUGACAUAAGUAACGAUAAAGCGGGUGAAAAGCCCGCUCGCCGGAAGACCAAGGGUUCCUGUCCAACGUUAAUCGGGGCAGGGUGAGUCGACCCCUAAGGCGAGGCCGAAAGGCGUAGUCGAUGGGAAACAGGUUAAUAUUCCUGUACUUGGUGUUACUGCGAAGGGGGGACGGAGAAGGCUAUGUUGGCCGGGCGACGGUUGUCCCGGUUUAAGCGUGUAGGCUGGUUUUCCAGGCAAAUCCGGAAAAUCAAGGCUGAGGCGUGAUGACGAGGCACUACGGUGCUGAAGCAACAAAUGCCCUGCUUCCAGGAAAAGCCUCUAAGCAUCAGGUAACAUCAAAUCGUACCCCAAACCGACACAGGUGGUCAGGUAGAGAAUACCAAGGCGCUUGAGAGAACUCGGGUGAAGGAACUAGGCAAAAUGGUGCCGUAACUUCGGGAGAAGGCACGCUGAUAUGUAGGUGAAGCGACUUGCUCGUGGAGCUGAAAUCAGUCGAAGAUACCAGCUGGCUGCAACUGUUUAUUAAAAACACAGCACUGUGCAAACACGAAAGUGGACGUAUACGGUGUGACGCCUGCCCGGUGCCGGAAGGUUAAUUGAUGGGGUUAGCGCAAGCGAAGCUCUUGAUCGAAGCCCCGGUAAACGGCGGCCGUAACUAUAACGGUCCUAAGGUAGCGAAAUUCCUUGUCGGGUAAGUUCCGACCUGCACGAAUGGCGUAAUGAUGGCCAGGCUG
RNAcentral lists this ribosomal RNA (1231 nucleotides) under Escherichia coli. Its description in RNAcentral is "partial 23S ribosomal RNA". It matches the Rfam family "Bacterial large subunit ribosomal RNA", at positions 805 to 2018 of the family's 2925-position model. The record is from RNAcentral. Lineage: Bacteria; Pseudomonadati; Pseudomonadota; Gammaproteobacteria; Enterobacterales; Enterobacteriaceae.